This 211-nucleotide long non-coding RNA is filed under the name Dromaius novaehollandiae (emu). RNAcentral's name for it is "lncRNA (ENSDNVG00000006142.1)". The record is from RNAcentral. Lineage: Eukaryota; Metazoa; Chordata; Aves; Casuariiformes; Dromaiidae.
GCCGAGAACUAAAUGAUAUUCAACAGUAAUAGCAUUUUGAAGUACGAAAGCAUUUUGCCACAACUUUCACCCAUUCUUUCAUCUAUCAAGGAAUGCACUCAUGGCGUGAAUACUAAAGUGGCUGCUGCUUCUUGCUGAGAUCGUGCGAGUCAGUCCACAACUCUUCCAUUUUUUCUGAAAAUAUUCUUGCAAAGCCAACUUGGUUUGCAUG